This 433-nucleotide ribosomal RNA is filed under the name uncultured bacterium. RNAcentral's name for it is "partial 16S ribosomal RNA". It matches the Rfam family "Bacterial small subunit ribosomal RNA", at positions 29 to 507 of the family's 1533-position model. The record is from RNAcentral.
AACGAACGCUGGCGGCAUGCCUAACACAUGCAAGUCGAACGAGACCUCCGGGUCUAGUGGCGCACGGGUGCGUAACGCGUGGGAACCUGCCCUUAGGUUCGGAAUAACUCCCCGAAAGGGGUGCUAAUACCGGAUAAUGUCUUCGGACCAAAGAUUUAUCGCCCUUGGAUGGGCCCGCGUUGGAUUAGCUAGUUGGUAGGGUAAAAGCCUACCAAGGCGACGAUCCAUAGCUGGUCUGAGAGGAUGAUCAGCCACACUGGGACUGAGACACGGCCCAGACCCCUACGGGAGGCAGCAGUGGGGAAUAUUGGACAGUGGGCGGAGGCCUGAUCCAGCACUGCCGCGUGAGUGAUGAAGGCCUUAGGGUUGUAAAGCUCUUUUACCCGGGAUGAUAAUGACAGUACCGGGAGAAUAAGCUCCGGCUAACUCCGUG